RNAcentral lists this ribosomal RNA (253 nucleotides) under uncultured bacterium. RNAcentral's name for it is "partial 16S ribosomal RNA". It matches the Rfam family "Bacterial small subunit ribosomal RNA", at positions 524 to 776 of the family's 1533-position model. The record is from RNAcentral.
UACGGAGGGUGCAAGCGUUGCUCGGAAUCAUUGGGCGUAAAGCGUACGCAGGCUGUUCGUUAAGUCGGGUGUGAAAGCCCAGGGCUCAACCCUGGAAUGGCGCCCGAAACUGGCGAGCUUGAGUGCGGGAGAGGGAAGCGGAAUUCCUGGUGUAGAGGUGAAAUUCGUAGAUAUUCGGAAGAACACCAGUGGCGAAGGCGACUUACUGGACACAUAUUGACGCUGAGGUGCGAAAGCGUGGGGAGCAAACAGG